Molecule: transfer RNA, 77 nt
Filed under: bacterium BMS3Abin07
Lineage: Bacteria
Also listed under: 4 other names
Description: tRNA-Arg
Rfam family: tRNA
About the family: Transfer RNA (tRNA) molecules are approximately 80 nucleotides in length. Their secondary structure includes four short double-helical elements and three loops (D, anti-codon, and T loops).
Source: RNAcentral
GCGCCUGUAGCUCAGCUGGAUAGAGCGACGGACUACGAAUCCGCAGGUCGGGGGUUCGAAUCCCUCCAGGCGCGCCA